CGCGGCGGGUGCUUACACAUGCAAGUCGAGCGAGGCGGAGGGGGCAACCCCUCUAGCCGAGCGGCGGACGGGUGAGUAACACGUGGGUAACCUGCCCGGAAGUGGGGAAUACCUCGGGGAAACUCGAGCUAAUGCCGAUGGACAUCUCCGGGACGAAAGUCCUGGCGAUCAAAGCGGGGUCGCAAGAUCUCGCGCUACCGGAUGGGCCCGCGCCCGAUUAGCUAGUUGGUGAGGUAACGGUUCACCAAGGCUUCGAUCGGUAGCCGGCCUGAGAGGGUGAUCGGCCACACCGGAACUGAGACACGGUCCGGACUCCUACGGGAGGCAGCAGUGGGGAAUCUUGCGCAAUGGGCGAAAGCCUGACGCAGCAACGCCGCGUGGAGGAUGAAGGCCCUUGGGUUGUAAACUCCUGUCGGCUGGGAAGAAAUCGUGCGGUGCUCAUACCACCGUACGUUGACUGUA
Molecule: ribosomal RNA, 462 nt
Filed under: uncultured bacterium
Lineage: Bacteria
Description: bacterial SSU rRNA
Rfam family: Bacterial small subunit ribosomal RNA
Source: RNAcentral